Molecule: ribosomal RNA, 545 nt
Filed under: uncultured cyanobacterium
Lineage: Bacteria; Bacillati; Cyanobacteriota
Description: bacterial SSU rRNA
Rfam family: Bacterial small subunit ribosomal RNA
Source: RNAcentral
ACGGACCUUCGGGUCAGUGGCGGACGGGUGAGUAACGCGUGAGAAUCUGCCCUCAGGAGGGGGAUAACGGCUGGAAACGGCCGCUAUACCCCAUAUGCCGAGAGGCGAAAUGAAUUUCGCCUGAGGAUGAGCUCGCGUCUGAUUAGCUAGUUGGUGGGGUAAAGGCCUACCAAGGCGACGAUCAGUAGCUGGUCUGAGAGGAUGAUCAGCCACACUGGGACUGAGACACGGCCCAGACUCCUACGGGAGGCAGCAGUGGGGAAUUUUCCGCAAUGGGCGAAAGCCUGACGGAGCAACGCCGCGUGAGGGAUGAAGGCCUCUGGGCUGUAAACCUCUUUUCUCAAGGAAGAAGAUCUGACGGUACUUGAGGAAUAAGCCACGGCUAAUUCCGUGCCAGCAGCCGCGGUAAUACGGGAGUGGCAAGCGUUAUCCGGAAUUAUUGGGCGUAAAGCGUCCGCAGGCGGCCCUGUAAGUCUGUCGUUAAAGCGUGGAGCUUAACUCCAUUUGAGCGAUGGAAACUACAGGGCUUGAGUGUGGUAGGGGCA